RNAcentral lists this ribosomal RNA (255 nucleotides) under uncultured bacterium. Its description in RNAcentral is "partial 16S ribosomal RNA". It matches the Rfam family "Bacterial small subunit ribosomal RNA", at positions 524 to 776 of the family's 1533-position model. The record is from RNAcentral.
UACGUAGGGUGCGAGCGUUGUCCGGAAUUAUUGGGCGUAAAGAGCUUGUAGGUGGCUCGUUGCGUCGGGAGUGAAAAACCUGAGGCUCAACCUCAGGCCUGCAGUCGAUACGGGCGGACUUGAGUACUGCAGGGGAGACUGGAAUUCCUGGUGUAGCGGUGAAAUGCGCAGAUAUCAGGAGGAACACCGGUGGCGAAGGCGGGUCUCUGGGCAGUAACUGACGCUGGAGGAGCGAAAGCGUGGGGAGCGAACAGG